UGCGUAGUCGGAUCGCCUAUAUGCAGUCGAAGUACCCUACGGCCUUAGUGGCGCACGGGUGCGUAACGCGUGGGAAUCUGCCCUUGGGUUCGGAAUAACUCAGAGAAAUUUGAGCUAAUACCGGAUGAUGUCGCAAGACCAAAGAUUUAUCGCCCGAGGAUGAGCCCGCGUAGGAUUAGCUAGUUGGUGAGGUAAAGGCUCACCAAGGCGACGAUCCUUAGCUGGUCUGAGAGGAUGAUCAGCCACACUGGGACUGAGACACGGCCCAGACUCCUACGGGAGGCAGCAGUGGGGAAUAUUGGACAAUGGGCGAAAGCCUGAUCCAGCAAUGCCGCGUGAGUGAUGAAGGCCCUAGGGUUGUAAAGCUCUUUUACCCGGGAUGAUAAUGACAGUACCGGGAGAAUAAGCCCCGGCUAACUCCGUGCCAGCAGCCGCGGUAAUACGGAGGGGGCUAGCGUUGUUCGGAAUUACUGGGCGUAAAGCGCACGUAGGCGGCUUUGUAAGUCAGAGGUGAAAGCCUGGAGCUCAACUCCAGAACUGCCUUUGAGACUGCAUCGCUUGAAUCCGGGAGAGGUGAGUGGAAUUCCGAGUGUAGAGGUGAAAUUCGUAGAUAUUCGGAAGAACACCAGUGGCGAAGGCGGCUCACUGGACCGGUAUUGACGCUGAGGUGCGAAAGCGUGGGGAGCAAAACAGGAUUUAGAUACCCUGGUAGUCCACGCCGUAAACGAUGAUAACUAGCUGUCCGGGUGCCUGGCAUUUGGGUGGCGCAGCUAAACGCAUUAAGUUAUCCGCCUGGGGAGUACGGCCGCAAGGUUAAAAACUCAAAGGAAUUGACGGGGGCCUGCACAAGCGGUGGAGCAUGUGGGUUAAAUUCAAAGCCACGCGCAGAACCUUACCACCGUUUGACAUGGUAGGACGACUGGCAGAAAUGCCUUUUCUUUCCUUCGGGACCACCCACAGGUGCUGCUUGCUUGUCGUCAGCUCGUGUCGUGAGAAGUUGGGUUAAUUC
RNAcentral lists this ribosomal RNA (1009 nucleotides) under Sphingomonas sp. ASBCFS01. RNAcentral describes it as "bacterial SSU rRNA". It matches the Rfam family "Bacterial small subunit ribosomal RNA", at positions 56 to 1086 of the family's 1533-position model. The record is from RNAcentral. Lineage: Bacteria; Pseudomonadati; Pseudomonadota; Alphaproteobacteria; Sphingomonadales; Sphingomonadaceae.